This 568-nucleotide ribosomal RNA is filed under the name uncultured bacterium. Its description in RNAcentral is "bacterial SSU rRNA". It matches the Rfam family "Bacterial small subunit ribosomal RNA", at positions 278 to 842 of the family's 1533-position model. The record is from RNAcentral.
GAUGCGUAGGGGUUCUGAGAGGAAGGUCCCCCACACUGGUACUGAGACACGGGCCAGACUCCUACGGGAGGCAGCAGUGAGGAAUAUUGGUCAAUGGGCGCGAGCCUGAACCAGCCAAGUCGCGUGAGGGAUGGCGGUCCUACGGAUUGUAAACCUCUUUUGCCGGGGAGCAAGCGUGCGUUCGUGAACGCGCGUCGAGAGUACCCGGAGAAAAAGCAUCGGCUAACUCCGUGCCAGCAGCCGCGGUAAUACGGAGGAUGCGAGCGUUAUCCGGAUUUAUUGGGUUUAAAGGGUGCGUAGGCGGGAUGCCAAGUCAGCGGUAAAAAUGCGGUGCUCAACGCCGUCGAGCCGUUGAAACUGGCGUUCUUGAGUGGGCGAGAAGUAUGCGGAAUGCGUGGUGUAGCGGUGAAAUGCAUAGAUAUCACGCAGAACUCCGAUUGCGAAGGCAGCAUACCGGCGCCCUACUGACGCUGAGGCACGAAAGCGUGGGUAUCGAACAGGAUUAGAUACCCUGGUAGUCCACGCAGUAAACGAUGAAUGCUAACUGUCCGGUGCGAGUGAGCGCUGG